UAACACGUGAGCAACCUGCCCUAGGCUUUGGGAUAACCCCGGGAAACCGGGGCUAAUACCGAAUAGGACCUCUGACCGCAUGGUUGGUGGUGGAAAGUUUUUCGGCCUGGGAUGGGCUCGCGGCCUAUCAGCUUGUUGGUGGGGUGAUGGCCUACCAAGGCGACGACGGGUAGCCGGCCUGAGAGGGCGACCGGCCACACUGGGACUGAGACACGGCCCAGACUCCUACGGGAGGCAGCAGUGGGGAAUAUUGCACAAUGGGCGGAAGCCUGAUGCAGCGACGCCGCGUGAGGGAUGACGGCCUUCGGGUUGUAAACCUCUUUCAGCAGGGACGAAGCGUAAGUGACGGUACCUGCAGAAGAAGCACCGGCCAACUACGUGCCAGCAGCCGCGGUAAGACGUAGGGUGCGAGCGUUGUCCGGAUUUAUUGGGCGUAAAGAGCUCGUAGGCGGCUUGUCGCGUCGACUGUGAAAACCCGCAGCUCAACUGCGGGCCUGCAGUCGAUACGGGCAGGCUAGAGUUCGGUAGGGGAGACUGGAAUUCCUGGUGUAGCGGUGAAAUGCGCAGAUAUCA
Molecule: ribosomal RNA, 573 nt
Filed under: Micromonospora sp. SCAU7035
Lineage: Bacteria; Bacillati; Actinomycetota; Actinomycetes; Micromonosporales; Micromonosporaceae
Description: bacterial SSU rRNA
Rfam family: Bacterial small subunit ribosomal RNA
Source: RNAcentral